AGUGAACGCUGGCGGUAGGCCUAACACAUGCAAGUCGAACGGCAGCACAGUAAUAGCUUGCUCUUACGGGUGGCGAGUGGCGGACGGGUGAGGAAUACAUCGGAAUCUACUUUUUCGUGGGGGAUAACGUAGGGAAACUUACGCUAAUACCGCAUCCGACCUACGGGUGAAAGCAUGGGAUCUUCUGACCUUGCGCGAUUGAAUGAGCCGAUGUCGGAUUAGCUAGUUGGCGGGGUAAAGGCCCACCCAGGCGACGAUCCGUAGCUGGUCUGAGAGGAUGAUCAGCCACACUGGAACUGAGACACGGUACAGACUCCUACGGGAGGCAGCAGUGGGGAAUAUUGGACAAUGGGCGCAAGACUGAUCCAGCCAUAACGCGUGGGUGAAGAAGGCCUUCGGGUUGUAAAGCCCUUUUGUUGGGAAAGAAAAGCAGCAGGUUAAUACCCCGCUGUGCUGACGGUACCCAAAGAAUAAGCACCGGCUAACUUCGU
RNAcentral lists this ribosomal RNA (491 nucleotides) under uncultured bacterium. RNAcentral's name for it is "partial 16S ribosomal RNA". It matches the Rfam family "Bacterial small subunit ribosomal RNA", at positions 29 to 506 of the family's 1533-position model. The record is from RNAcentral.